RNAcentral lists this transfer RNA (76 nucleotides) under Bacillota bacterium. RNAcentral describes it as "tRNA-Thr". It matches the Rfam family "tRNA". Rfam says of the family: Transfer RNA (tRNA) molecules are approximately 80 nucleotides in length. Lineage: Bacteria; Bacillati; Bacillota. The record is from RNAcentral.
GCUCACAUAGCUCAGACGGUAGAGCGCGUCCUUGGUAAGGACGAGGUCACCGGUUCAAUCCCGGUUGUGAGCUCCA